GGGGGUGAUUAGCUCAGCUGGGAGAGCACCUCCCUUACAAGGAGGGGGUCGGCGGUUCGAUCCCGUCAUCACC
This 73-nucleotide transfer RNA is filed under the name Salmonella enterica subsp. enterica serovar Typhimurium str. LT2. RNAcentral's name for it is "tRNA-Val". It matches the Rfam family "tRNA". From Rfam's summary of the family: Transfer RNA (tRNA) molecules are approximately 80 nucleotides in length. Lineage: Bacteria; Pseudomonadati; Pseudomonadota; Gammaproteobacteria; Enterobacterales; Enterobacteriaceae. RNAcentral also lists the same sequence under 1 other name. The record is from RNAcentral.